RNAcentral lists this microRNA precursor (81 nucleotides) under Myotis lucifugus (little brown bat). Its description in RNAcentral is "miRNA (ENSMLUG00000026500.1)". The record is from RNAcentral. Lineage: Eukaryota; Metazoa; Chordata; Mammalia; Chiroptera; Vespertilionidae.
UUUAAGUGUGUGUGUGUGUAUGUGUGUAUAUAUACAUAUAUAUAUACACACACACAUAUACACACACACACACUUAAAUAC